UUGGCUUGCCUACUGGUGGGUUAUGGUAGGCACCAUCAUGACCUUAGAAAUUGGGUCGUGACAAGGUGUUUGAUGACAAACUUUAUUCUGCCAUGUCAGUCAAGAACUACGAGGUUGUCUGAUCGCUUAGACAUGAAAGCAAUGGAAAAAAACAGAACCUGGUUAAUUAAAGAUACAUUAAGCAGAAAAUUUUAGAGGAAGUGUAAUUUUUCAUGUGUUUGGUAGAGAGCAGAGUAAUAUUGACACCUGAGGAUUUGUAAAAAGGACAGAUUGUGUCAGCUAAUGCAUCAUGUACAAAUGUUCAGUAAAGACUGGACUGCCGAUUGAUACAAUUUGGAUUUGGGUGUGGAUUCAUACUGCAUUUAGUCAACCUAACUUGGGCUCUUUGACUUCAUCUAUCGCUAAGAUGUUUAGGUUGAUUGGCUAUUUGAAAUGAUUUUGNN
This 443-nucleotide long non-coding RNA is filed under the name Capsicum annuum. Its description in RNAcentral is "long non-coding RNA (CANN_LNC009024)". Lineage: Eukaryota; Viridiplantae; Streptophyta; Magnoliopsida; Solanales; Solanaceae. The record is from RNAcentral.